This 461-nucleotide ribosomal RNA is filed under the name uncultured bacterium. Its description in RNAcentral is "bacterial SSU rRNA". It matches the Rfam family "Bacterial small subunit ribosomal RNA", at positions 32 to 504 of the family's 1533-position model. The record is from RNAcentral.
UCAACGCUGGCGGCGUGCCUAACACAUGCAAGUCGAACGAGAAAGUACUCUUCGGAGUGCGAGUAAAGUGGCGAACGGGUGAGUAACGCGUGGGUGAUCUGCCCUUUGGCGGGGGAUAACCCGGGGAAACCCGGGCUAAUACCGCAUAAGCCUGCAUUUGUAAGCGAGUGCAGGGAAAGUUUUCGGAUACCGAAGGAGGAGCCCGCGUCCGAUUAGCUAGUUGGUGAGGUAAGAGCUCACCAAGGCAACGAUCGGUAGCCGGUCUGAGAGGACGGACGGUCACACUGGGACUGAGACACGGCGCAGAGUACUACGGGAGGCAGCAGUGGGGAAUUUUGGGCAAUGGGCGCAAGCCUGACCCAGCAACGCCGCGUGGAGGAUGAAGGUUUUCGGAUCGUAAACUCCUGUCUAGAGGGACGAAGAAAGUGACGGUACCUCUGGAGGAAGCCCCGGCUAACUCC